UACGUAGGGGGCAAGCGUUGUCCGGAAUCAUUGGGCGUAAAGAGCGUGUAGGCGGCUCGAUAAGUCCGCUGUGAAAGUCCAGGGCUCAACCCUGGAAGGCCGGUGGAAACUGUCGGGCUAGAGUCCGGAAGAGGCGAGUGGAAUUCCCGGUGUAGCGGUGAAAUGCGCAGAUAUCGGGAAGAACACCCGUGGCGAAGGCGGCUCUCUGGGACGGUACUGACGCUGAGACGCGAAAGCGUGGGGAGCGAACAGG
Molecule: ribosomal RNA, 253 nt
Filed under: uncultured bacterium
Lineage: Bacteria
Description: partial 16S ribosomal RNA
Rfam family: Bacterial small subunit ribosomal RNA
Source: RNAcentral